Drosophila sulfurigaster albostrigata is the source of this 549-nucleotide long non-coding RNA. RefSeq lists it as uncharacterized. The transcript is spliced from 3 exons. The record is from RefSeq and is a predicted model, not a curated record. Lineage: Eukaryota; Metazoa; Arthropoda; Insecta; Diptera; Drosophilidae.
CGUUUCUUAAGGAAUUAUUUUUGCUCCCUCAAUUGAUAAAUUUGUAAUAUAAAUAAAGAUUCUAUAGCAAUUUAUUUAUUAUACAUGAGAACUUAAAAUAUGUAAAUAAAAUGAUGUUAUAUGUUGAUGCAGCUCAGAGGCAAGUUGCAACCAGUUUCGAUUGCCUGAGACUUCGACUUCGGGUUCGGGUUCGACUUCAACUUCAACUGCGACUGCGACUGGUAGGCGAUUGAUGCAGGGGGGAGUGGCUCUCUUUUGGUUUGCAUGCCAGCAGCAAAUAAAAGGCAAAUACACGCACAAAAUGACUCUACAAUCCACUCUCCACACUCUCUACACUUGCUUCGACUGUAGAUUAUCGCAAAGACUGAUCUGAUUGGGUCAUCGAACAAGUGAUUUGCCACUGGCAUUCGUUGAUUACACGAUGCCACCUGGAUGCAUCUAUCUGAAUAUGAAGAUGAAGAUGCUCAACUGGAUAUGCUAACUAUGUAAGCAACAUGAUCUUCACGUUAUGAUUAAACAUAGACUUCAAGUUGGAUAAAUAUCACGUUU